AUUAUAACACAGCUAACACUCCCAUUCAUUACAUCAGAAAUCCUCCCCUCUCCCUGUGAUACAAUUAUCUCAACACAAUAGACUAAUUUAAUUAUCACAGGCAGUAAAAUACAGUAUUAUAAAACAUAUCACAGGGACCCCCACAUGCAAUAACCCCAUAAAAAAUAUAAAAAAUAUAUCCUCAGAACCAGGGGAUCUGGGUGAACCACAUAUCCAAAAUUCACCCAGAUCCGUUCAGUAGUUUGGAAGAUACGGUUUAAUGCAGAUUCCGCAGAACAUAUACAGGUUAUAUGAAAAAUAAUUACUGUUAAAUGUGUCCCCCGUUCUAUAGUUUAAAACUACUGCACAAUGUCUUUUGCACCAAAUACCGGCGAGAUGGCACCGUGUAGAAAAGUCCAAACAGUGUCUGUGAGUUAAAAUGGCCGCCAUCCAUUAUUCUCACCAUGUGCUUCAUCCAUUGUUCUCACCAUGUGCCUCUGAUACAUGAAAUGGUGGCCACCCAGUAACUCCACAGUAUGUCCCCAGAUGGUUCUUAAAG
Molecule: non-coding RNA, 538 nt
Organism: Pelobates cultripes (western spadefoot toad)
Lineage: Eukaryota; Metazoa; Chordata; Amphibia; Anura; Pelobatidae
Source: the annotation of a GenBank genome assembly